RNAcentral lists this unclassified non-coding RNA (342 nucleotides) under soil metagenome. RNAcentral's name for it is "partial contains 5.8S ribosomal RNA, internal transcribed spacer 2, and large subunit ribosomal RNA". The stretch from base 1 to 120 matches the Rfam family "5.8S ribosomal RNA", at positions 35 to 154 of the family's 154-position model. The record is from RNAcentral.
GAUGAAGAACGUAGCAAAAUGCGAUAAGUAGUGUGAAUUGCAGAAUUCAGUGAAUCAUCGAAUCUUUGAACGCACAUUGCGCCUCCUGGUAUUCCGGGAGGCAUGCCUGUUCGAGCGUCAUCAAAAACCUCAACCCAUGAUUUAUUGUGAGUUGGUUCUGCAUUGGACUCCUUGUGGGUCCUUUGCGAAAUCCAAUGGCGAAGAGCCACGCAACCAAAGCGUAGUAUAACUAUUUCGUUAUGGAAGCGUGGGUGCCUCUGCCGUAACCCCCAAUUUCUUAGUUUUUGACCUCGGAUCAGGUAGGGAUACCCGCUGAACUUAAGCAUAUCAAUAAGCGGAGGA